CAAAAUCAGCCCCAAAACUGCCCCGGUCCAAGCCAAUCCUUUCCCAGUUCAAACCAGUCCAAACCAGUCCAAACCAGUCAGUUUCCAGUCCAAACCAGUGCAAACCAGUCCGUUCCCAGUCCGUUCCCAGUUCAAACCAGCCCAAACCAGUCCAUUCCCAGUCCAAACCGGUCCGUUCCCAGUCCAAACCAGUCCAAACCGGUCCGUUCCCAGUUCAAACCAGUCCAAACCGGUUUGGUUGCAGGUUCGGGGCUGGUACCGGUCGCUGCUGUGCCCGCGCUGGCGCCCGUACUCGGAGUUCACCAGUAACACCAGUAACACCAGUAACAACACCAGUCACACCAGUAACACCAGUAUGGGCCGCGCCCGGGGCUCCCUGGCACACCAGUGACACCAGUGACACCAGUGACAGCAGGUGCCGAAAAUUCCAGGAAAAACCAAAAAUUUGGGGAAAUUCGAUGGAAUUUUGGGGGAAAUUCGAUGGAAUUUUGGGAAAUUCGGGAUUUUUACCCAGCUCGGGGAGCUCAGUAAAGAAAAUCGAGUUUGGAUUUGGGGCGAAUUCCUGGGAUUUUGGGCUGAAAUCUCUGAGAUUCAGGGAAUUCCAGGGAUUUCGGGGAUUCCGGGACAUUUUUGGGGUGGAAUUCCAGGGAUUUUGGGGUAAAAUUCCGGGAUUU
This 674-nucleotide long non-coding RNA is filed under the name Cyanistes caeruleus (blue tit). RNAcentral's name for it is "lncRNA (ENSCCEG00000003951.1)". The record is from RNAcentral. Lineage: Eukaryota; Metazoa; Chordata; Aves; Passeriformes; Paridae.